AGUGGACGCUGGCGGUAGGCCUAACACAUGCGAGUCGAACGGCAGCACAGUAAGAGCUUGCUCUUACGGGUGGCGAGUGGCGGACGGGUGAGGCAUACAUCGGAAUCUACUUUUUCGUGGGGGAUAACGUAGGGAAACUUACGCUAAUACAGCAUACGACCUACGGGUGAAAGCAGGGGAUCUUCGCACCUUGCGCGAUUGAAUGAGCCGAUGUCGGAUUAGCUAGUUGGCGGGGUAAAGGCCCACCAAGGCGACGAUCCGUAGCUGGUCUGAGAGGAUGAUCAGCCACACUGGAACUGAGACACGGUCCAGACUCCUACGGGAGGCAGCAGUGGGGAAUAUUGGACAAUGGGCGCAAGCCUGAUCCAGCCAUACCGCGUGGGUGAAGAAGGCCUUCGGGUUGUAAAGCUCUGUUGUUGGGAAAGAAAAGCAGCAGGUUAAUACCCCGCUGUUCUGACGGUACCCAAAGAAUAAGCACCGGCUAACUUCGUG
Molecule: ribosomal RNA, 492 nt
Filed under: uncultured bacterium
Lineage: Bacteria
Description: partial 16S ribosomal RNA
Rfam family: Bacterial small subunit ribosomal RNA
Source: RNAcentral